This 87-nucleotide transfer RNA is filed under the name Anaeromyxobacter oryzae. Its description in RNAcentral is "tRNA-Leu". It matches the Rfam family "tRNA". From Rfam's summary of the family: Transfer RNA (tRNA) molecules are approximately 80 nucleotides in length. Their secondary structure includes four short double-helical elements and three loops (D, anti-codon, and T loops). Further hydrogen bonds mediate the characteristic L-shaped molecular structure. tRNAs have two regions of fundamental functional importance: the anti-codon, which is responsible for specific mRNA codon recognition, and the 3' end, to which the tRNAs corresponding amino acid is attached (by aminoacyl-tRNA synthetases). tRNAs cope with the degeneracy of the genetic code in two manners: having more than one tRNA (with a specific anti-codon) for a particular amino acid; and 'wobble' base-pairing, i.e. permitting non-standard base-pairing at the 3rd anti-codon position. Lineage: Bacteria; Pseudomonadati; Myxococcota; Myxococcia; Myxococcales; Anaeromyxobacteraceae. The record is from RNAcentral.
GGGGCCGUGGCGGAACUGGCAGACGCAGGGGACUUAAAAUCCCCCGCCGGUCAACCCGGCGUCCCGGUUCGACCCCGGGCGGCCCUA